GACGAACGCUGGCGGCGUGCUUAACACAUGCAAGUCGAACGGAAAGGCCUUUUCGGAGGUACUCGAGUGGCGAACGGGUGAGUAACACGUGGGUGAUCUGCCCUGCACUCUGGGAUAAGCCUGGGAAACUGGGUCUAAUACCGGAUAGGACCGCACUUUAGUGUGUGUGGUGGAAAGUUUUUUCGGUGUAGGAUGAGCCCGCGGCCUAUCAGCUUGUUGGUGGGGUAAUGGCCUACCAAGGCGGCGACGGGUAGCCGGACUGAGAGGUUGGUCGGCCACAUUGGGACUGAGAUACGGCCCAGACUCCUACGGGAGGCAGCAGUGGGGAAUAUUGCACAAUGGGCGCAAGCCUGAUGCAGCGACGCCGCGUGGGGGAUGACGGCCUUCGGGUUGUAAACUCCUUCCGCCAGGGACGAAGCGUUUUGUGACGGUACCUGGAGAAGAAGCACCGGCUAACUACGUG
RNAcentral lists this ribosomal RNA (463 nucleotides) under uncultured bacterium. Its description in RNAcentral is "partial 16S ribosomal RNA". It matches the Rfam family "Bacterial small subunit ribosomal RNA", at positions 28 to 507 of the family's 1533-position model. The record is from RNAcentral.